GAUGAACGCUAGCUACAGGCUUAACACAUGCAAGUCGAGGGGCAGCAUGAACUUAGCUUGCUAAGUUUGAUGGCGACCGGCGCACGGGUGAGUAACACGUAUCCAACCUGCCGAUGACUCGGGGAUAGCCUUUCGAAAGAAAGAUUAAUACCCGAUGGCAUAGUUCUUCCGCAUGGUGGAACUAUUAAAGAAUUUCGGUCAUCGAUGGGGAUGCGUUCCAUUAGGUUGUUGGCGGGGUAACGGCCCACCAAGCCUUCGAUGGAUAGGGGUUCUGAGAGGAAGGUCCCCCACAUUGGAACUGAGACACGGUCCAAACUCCUACGGGAGGCAGCAGUGAGGAAUAUUGGUCAAUGGACGAGAGUCUGAACCAGCCAAGUAGCGUGAAGGAUGACUGCCCUAUGGGUUGUAAACUUCUUUUAUACGGGAAUAAAGUGAGGCACGUGUGCCUUUUUGUAUGUACCGUAUGAAUAAGGAU
Molecule: ribosomal RNA, 475 nt
Filed under: uncultured bacterium
Lineage: Bacteria
Description: bacterial SSU rRNA
Rfam family: Bacterial small subunit ribosomal RNA
Source: RNAcentral